CAGCUCUCUGUAGGAAAAUGGCCAGUAGAAAUAUCAUGCUGCGUGCUUCCGUUUACCAAGUGGAAAAUUAUUUUUAAUGUACUCCUGAAGAAAGGUAACAGUUUUCAUCAAUAAAACAGCGCUGGAGACCUUGAAACUGACCCCUAGACUUGCUGCAAAAGUAGUGAUGCUUUGAAAAGCCGCCCCGCGUCAGGUGAACGAGAGCACUGGGUGCAUCCCGGGGGUCCCGGGGCAGGACCAUGCUUGGGCGAGCUGGGCUUCCUCCUCCGCUUGGAGCGGCACUGGCAGCACCUGGGUGCGAGCAGACAUGUCUGAAAAAGUGUUUCAGAAGUUAUUAAUUUAAAGCAAGCAGCUGCAUACUGAUAACAAGGGAAAUAUCUCACUGCAGCUUUAGAUCACAGGAAUCCACUAAGCAAAGGUACCGAUUUUUCUUUUUAAUUUUGAAAAAAAUACCACUGAUUAGAGUGCUAGUCUGAAAUUAAAUCAUGUAUCUGCUUAUUUUGCAAGAGAAACAUUACAGAAGUGGGUUUAAAUAGCUGCAACUUUUCUGAAUAUCUCACAAACAAUAAUUUACUGUGAAUGGAAAAGCUCCUGAAUGCUUCUUCCUCUAAUUAUUAUUCAUUUGUUACAUAAGGACUGAAGAUGUGACGCUGUUCAUAAAUGCACUUUAAAUACUGACUGUUUAUAAACUUUAUGCUUGUUCUUAAAGUUAUUAUCACAGAAUUGUGAUUUAAGUGUGUUAUAUGUGUUUCUAAUGCCCAUUGUGGUGCAUCCGGAGCAAUUCUGAGCAGCAUUUAUCUACUGAGCUCAGAACGGUGACUGCUAUCGUCAUAAAUAUCUAUAUAGUGCUUGUAAUGGCUUGUUUUCCAUGCAAUAGCCUGUUCUUAUACCUUAACUUCAGACAGCUCAGUUUUAUCAAAUAAUAAAAUAUUUUUUCAAAUGAAUCA
This 947-nucleotide long non-coding RNA is filed under the name Apteryx owenii (little spotted kiwi). Its description in RNAcentral is "lncRNA (ENSAOWG00000010415.1)". The record is from RNAcentral. Lineage: Eukaryota; Metazoa; Chordata; Aves; Apterygiformes; Apterygidae.